RNAcentral lists this ribosomal RNA (416 nucleotides) under bacterium enrichment culture clone ALO1_GLFRUDD03GAWYW. RNAcentral's name for it is "bacterial SSU rRNA". It matches the Rfam family "Bacterial small subunit ribosomal RNA", at positions 9 to 426 of the family's 1533-position model. The record is from RNAcentral.
GAGUUUGACCGUGGCUCAGAUUGAACGCUGGCGGCAUGCCUUACACAUGCAAGUCGAACGGCAGCACGGGAGCUUGCUCCUGGUGGCGAGUGGCGAACGGGUGAGUAAUGCAUCGGAACGUAUCCUGGAGUGGGGGAUAACGUAGCGAAAGUUACGCUAAUACCGCAUAUUCUGUGAGCAGGAAAGCGGGGGACCUUCGGGCCUCGCGCUCUUGGAGCGGCCGAUGUCGGAUUAGCUAGUUGGUGAGGUAAAGGCUCACCAAGGCGACGAUCCGUAGCAGGUCUGAGAGGAUGAUCUGCCACACUGGAACUGAGACACGGUCCAGACUCCUACGGGAGGCAGCAGUGGGGAAUUUUUGGACAAUGGGGGCAACCCUGAUCCAGCCAUGCCGCGUGAGUGAAGAAGGCCUCGGUUGU